UACGGAGGAUGCGAGCGUUAUCCGGAUUUAUUGGGUUUAAAGGGUGCGUAGGCGGCUUUUUUAAGUCAGCGGUGAAAUUUUGCAGCUUAACUGUAACAGUGCCGUUGAUACUGGUAAGCUAGAGUACAGUAGAGGAAAGUGGAAUUCCUGGUGUAGCGGUGAAAUGCGCAGAUAUCAGGAAGAACACCAGUGGCGAAAGCGGCUUUCUGGACUGUUACUGACGCUGAGGUGUGAAAGCUAGGGGAGCGAACAGGAUUAGAUACCCCGGUAGUCCCUGA
This 278-nucleotide ribosomal RNA is filed under the name uncultured prokaryote. RNAcentral's name for it is "partial 16S ribosomal RNA". It matches the Rfam family "Bacterial small subunit ribosomal RNA", at positions 524 to 800 of the family's 1533-position model. The record is from RNAcentral.